Myiozetetes cayanensis is the source of this 568-nucleotide long non-coding RNA. RefSeq lists it as uncharacterized. NCBI's taxonomy places the organism in Eukaryota, Metazoa, Chordata, Aves, Passeriformes, Tyrannidae. The record is from RefSeq and is a predicted model, not a curated record. The transcript has 3 exons.
UGCUGCCCUCCAGCCCCACAGCCCUCGGGGAGCAGUGGGAUCGAGCUGCCCUGGGUGGGAGGCAGGAGACUCAGCCCUGCUGUGUUGCUGCUUCUGAAGGGCCAGAGCCCCGUGGCAGUGCCUGUGUCUUUCUGGAUGUGGCCAUGUGUGAUGUGCUCCAGACUUGGGAUAAAGGAGGAGGCACCACAGCCGAGUCUUGGUUUCCCAGACAGGUUCCUGAUGGCCACAAAUUAAGCAGGAGCUCCACUGCUCCCGAGGGCGAAGCCCAGGAAUGGCUGUGCUCUUAUAAAGCACCCAGGGUUUGGAUAAGGAAGAUGUCAGCCUGAGCUUCCUACACGUGAGUGCUUGGUCUUCCUGUGGUGCUGUUGGGAGUCUCUGGUGCUUUCCUCCCCCUCCUGGAACCACCCAGAGUAAGUGGUUCUUUGAUCUCUAGAGUUGUCACCCCUGGGAAAGGGUCUCUCUGCUGUGCCUGUUUGGUGUCCCAGCCCUGAAUCUCGUGUGGUUAUUGAACCCCACACCGGCUUCUGCCACGAAUCACUGCCCUGGGGAGACACAGGCUGAGCCACAC